CGGGCUAAACCCGCGUACAUGCCACCGGGGCAUCCCGGAGGCAGGAAAGGCUUCGGCCGGACAGGGAUGGGCAUGCGGCGCAUUAGGCAGUAGGCGGGGUAACGGCCCACCUAACCGACGAUGCGUAGGGGUUCUGAGAGGAAGGUCCCCCACACUGGUACUGAGACACGGACCAGACUCCUACGGGGGGCAGCAGUGAGGAAUAUUGGUCAAUGGUCGGGAGACUGAACCAGCCAAGCCGCGUGAGGGAUGAAGGUACAGAGUAUCGUAAACCUCUUUUGUCAGGGAACAAAGGCGGGGACGUGUCCCCGGAUGAGUGUACCUGAAGAAAAAGCAUCGGCUAACUCCGUGCCAGCAGCCGCGGUAAUACGGAGGAUGCGAGCGUUAUCCGGAUUUAUUGGGUUUAAAGGGUGCGCAGGCGGUCUGUUAAGUCAGCGGUCAAAGCCCGGGGCUCAACCCCGGCCCGCCGUUGAAACUGGCAGUCUCGAGUUGGAGAGAAGUAUGCGGAAUGCGCGGUGUAGCGGUGAAAUGCAUAGAUAUCGCGCAGAACUCCGAUUGCGAAGGCAGCAUGCCGGCUCCACACUGACGCUGAGGCACGAAAGCGUGGGUAUCGAACAGGAUUAGAUACCCUGGUAGUCCACGCAGUAAACGA
RNAcentral lists this ribosomal RNA (652 nucleotides) under uncultured bacterium. RNAcentral's name for it is "bacterial SSU rRNA". It matches the Rfam family "Bacterial small subunit ribosomal RNA", at positions 159 to 809 of the family's 1533-position model. The record is from RNAcentral.